GUUACUUAAUCAGAUAGAGAACAAAAACUCGUUUGCCUUGGUGAAGAUGUUGAUUUGGUCUGUAGUGUGGACAGCAAUCCCCUUUCAAAUCUCUCGUGGCACAACCAAACCGGCAUUAUUGAAGAGAAAUUUGGAGCAAACAGAAUUGAGCUUCGUUUAACAAACGUUUCGACUGACCAUUUCCAGACGUAUAGUUGCAAGGCACAUAACGGAAUUGGUGGAAUUGUAACAAAAAAUAUAACGCUUAUUGUGAAAGAUCCAUCAGAAAUUGUAAUAUCCGAGGCAAUAAACCCAUCGGCCGAGUCAAACAUUGCCUGUAUCGUGGUACCGAUUAUAGGUUGUAUAAGUUUUGUAAUUCUGUUUGCGGUUAUUGUGGCUGUAGUCAUCCAUGGGAGACGACAGAAUGCACAGACAGGACGAACAUUCAUCAAAUUGAAGCUGAAGAAAG
This is a long non-coding RNA of Ruditapes philippinarum (Manila clam), 448 nucleotides long. RefSeq lists it as uncharacterized. The record is from RefSeq and is a predicted model, not a curated record. Lineage: Eukaryota; Metazoa; Mollusca; Bivalvia; Venerida; Veneridae. The transcript has 3 exons.